UGGGGAAUUUUGGACAAUGGGGGCAACCCUGAUCCAGCCAUUCCGCGUGAGUGAAGAAGGCCUUCGGGUUGUAAAGCUCUUUCAGCUGGAACGAAACGGUACGCUCUAACAUAGUGUGCUAAUGACGGUACCAGCAGAAGAAGCACCGGCUAACUACGUGCCAGCAGCCGCGGUAAUACGUAGGGUGCGAGCGUUAAUCGGAAUUACUGGGCGUAAAGCGUGCGCAGGCGGAUUGUUAAGCAAGACGUGAAAUCCCCGGGCUUAACCUGGGAAUGGCGUUUUGAACUGGCAGUCUAGAGUGUGUCAGAGGGGGGUAGAAUUCCACGUGUAGCAGUGAAAUGCGUAGAGAUGUGGAGGAAUACCAAUGGCGAAGGCAGCCCCCUGGGAUAACACUGACGCUCAUGUACGAAAGCGUGGGUAGCAAACAGGAUUAGAUACCCUGGUAGUCCACGCCCUAAACGAUGUC
This 466-nucleotide ribosomal RNA is filed under the name uncultured bacterium. RNAcentral describes it as "bacterial SSU rRNA". It matches the Rfam family "Bacterial small subunit ribosomal RNA", at positions 355 to 813 of the family's 1533-position model. The record is from RNAcentral.